UGCUAGCUCUGGGUGUAGAUGCCUGUCUGU
This 30-nucleotide non-coding RNA is filed under the name Rattus norvegicus (Norway rat). Lineage: Eukaryota; Metazoa; Chordata; Mammalia; Rodentia; Muridae. The record is from RNAcentral.